GGGAUCCCGGCCCCGCGGGGCCNGGCGCACCACCGGCCCGUCUCGCCCGCUCUGUCGGGGAGGUGGAGCGUGAGCGCGGUGGCGAUGAGGACCCGAAAGAUGGUGAACUAUGCCUGGGCAGGGC
This 124-nucleotide ribosomal RNA is filed under the name Sigmops bathyphilus (spark anglemouth). RNAcentral describes it as "partial 28S ribosomal RNA". The record is from RNAcentral. Lineage: Eukaryota; Metazoa; Chordata; Actinopteri; Stomiiformes; Gonostomatidae.